This is a long non-coding RNA of Olea europaea var. sylvestris, 656 nucleotides long. RefSeq lists it as uncharacterized. The record is from RefSeq and is a predicted model, not a curated record. NCBI's taxonomy places the organism in Eukaryota, Viridiplantae, Streptophyta, Magnoliopsida, Lamiales, Oleaceae. The transcript has 2 exons.
CAAAUCAACUCCACAUCAUCACAAACACCCUUUAACCUCUCAUUCUAUGAAAUGCGACUUCCCCAAUUAAAACCUAAAACCAUCUAGCGCGAUUUCCAGAAUAGUCAAAGCUCAAUCCCAAAGUCCUAUAAUCAAUUUGACACUCGAAACCUAAUCCCCAAACUCAGAAAAUCUGAUCAUCGAUCUCCAUCCAGCCGUUUGUAACCAGUAGAAGAGCCCAACCAGCAGAAGAAGCAUCUAUUUGAUUUGAAAAGUUCGACUUCGAGCAAGAUAGUUGAGCGUGCACAUUAACAGAUCUAUUGAAGAUUGUGAGGAAGAUUCGGUCCAGGAUUUCGAGUUGGAAUAAUGACAUGCUCCAAUUCAUGUGGAGCGCGAAGCACGGUCAGAGUGUAUUCCAAUUCAGGACAAUCAGGUUCUGGACAUGGAGGGGAAAACAUACAACAGCAGUAGCUGUGCAUUAUUUCAGUUUCUUCUUUGUUUUUGUCAAUGUAUGCUAGAAUCUAAGUGCGGACCAGUGAAUAAGCCUUUUUGGUCUGGAUAUGUAUGCAUGUAUGGAAACUCUGGGAAUUUUAUGAAACUUAUGAAAACCGUUCCACUGUUGUUAUGGAAAUUAUGGAUGAUUUGUGGGAAUAGUUGUGGAAGUUAAUGUUGAUGUU